UUGCCUCUCUCUCAUCUCUCAUCUCUCAUCUCUCAUCUCUCAUCUCUCAUCAUCUCUCUCUCUCUCUCUCUCUCUCUCUCUCUCUCUCUCUCUCCGGUUAUCGUGUAAUUUUCUGAGUGUUACUCCAGAAUCGCUCGAUAUCCUGGAUAAGAGGUUUCAAAAGCCAUGUUAUUUUCGAGGGUUUGGUGAUUCGAGGUUGGCUUAGGUGGAGUGGCGGAUCUGUUGUAGCGUUCUUCGACGACGACGACGACGAUUUGGAUCUACGAGGCAUCAAAGGCGUUCGAUGGGGCAGGGCAGUGGGCCUGAGCCUAGAGCUUGGGGUGCUCGCAUUAACUUUCCUGUUUCUCUUCUCUUAUGUUUUUAAAGCUUAAAUCUUUAGGCUUGCAUGUUGCAGAUCUUGACUUUGGACUUUUAUGUGCAGAGAUUUGUCUUCCAACUAUUUAUCAGCAAGUCUUCCCCCCUAGGCUGAGCGAAGCAUCGCAUUCUCAAAGAAGGACCCAAAUAGUUUGAAGCCUGGCCCGGCGUUGAACAAAGAUGGCAUGCUUGAUCUCACCAUUUUUAUCUGUGUCCUUGAACGAAAGAAAGACGAGGUACCUGCUCCUUGUUCUAUUGCUAUAUCUCAGGUUUGUUUCAUGUGAUUCAAGUUAACAAAUACUUUCUCACCUAUGAGCCUCUUGGUUGUUUUGCUGAGCAACGAAGCUGAGACAAGUGCGAACUCACUCUAAAGUGAGUUCAACUACUCUGAAUCUGGAUUGAAGGACUCUACUUAUUGAUGCCGUCAUGACUCAACCGAUCUCUUGAAUUUAGUCAUUGUGCAACAGAGGUUAUUCGUAAGGAAGGAUUGCUGUAUCAAGGGAAGGGUUGCAACCUUGGGGAGGAAGAGUCUUGAUGUUAAAAUUUUGAUGGGUUUAUCUGUAAAUUUUUAGUUAAUGUAGUUUGAUACAUUUUAAAAUACAGUAUACAGUACAUUAAUGUAGAGGUGCCAGUUGGCACCUUAUUUUUUUAAUCCGGCUUCAUAUUUUUGCCACUGAUAUCAGUGGCUUCCAAAA
Rosa chinensis is the source of this 1049-nucleotide long non-coding RNA. RefSeq lists it as uncharacterized. The record is from RefSeq and is a predicted model, not a curated record. The transcript is spliced from 4 exons. NCBI's taxonomy places the organism in Eukaryota, Viridiplantae, Streptophyta, Magnoliopsida, Rosales, Rosaceae.